AACGCGAAGAACCUUACCUGGGCUCGAAGCACAGUGGACCGGGGUAGAAAUAUCCCUUUUCGCAAGAACUGCUGUGGAGGUGCUGCAUGGCUGUCGUCAGCUCGUGUCGUGAGAUGUUGGGUUAAGUCCCGCAACGAGCGCAACCCUUAUCGUUAGUUGCCAUCAGGUCAAGCUGGGCACUCUAGCGAAACCGCCCCGGAUAACGGGGAGGAAGGUGGGGAUGACGUCAAGUCCUCAUGGCCUUUAUGUCCAGGGCUACACACGUGCUACAAUGGUCGGUACAAACCGUCGCAAACCUGCGAAGGGGAGCUAAUCGGAAAAAGCCGGCCUCAGUUCGGAUUGGAGUCUGCAACUCGACUCCAUGAAGCUGGAAUCGCUAGUAAUCGCGGAUCAGCACGCCGCGGUGAAUACGUUCCCGGGCCUUGUA
RNAcentral lists this ribosomal RNA (427 nucleotides) under uncultured Acidobacterium sp. RNAcentral's name for it is "bacterial SSU rRNA". It matches the Rfam family "Bacterial small subunit ribosomal RNA", at positions 958 to 1385 of the family's 1533-position model. The record is from RNAcentral. Lineage: Bacteria; Pseudomonadati; Acidobacteriota; Terriglobia; Terriglobales; Acidobacteriaceae.